AGCGAACGCUGGCGGCAGGCCUAACACAUGCAAGUCGAACGAAGUCUUCGGACUUAGUGGCGGACGGGUGAGUAACACGUGGGAACGUGCCUUUAGGUUCGGAAUAACUCAGGGAAACUUGUGCUAAUACCGAAUGUGCCCUUCGGGGGAAAGAUUUAUCGCCUUUAGAGCGGCCCGCGUCUGAUUAGCUAGUUGGUGAGGUAAAGGCUCACCAAGGCGACGAUCAGUAGCUGGUCUGAGAGGAUGAUCAGCCACAUUGGGACUGAGACACGGCCCAAACUCCUACGGGAGGCAGCAGUGGGGAAUCUUGCGCAAUGGGCGAAAGCCUGACGCAGCCAUGCCGCGUGAAUGAUGAAGGUCUUAGGAUUGUAAAAUUCUUUCACCGGGGACGAUAAUGACGGUACCCGGAGAAGAAGCCCCGGCUAACUUCGUGCCAGCCGCCGCCGUAACAC
RNAcentral lists this ribosomal RNA (452 nucleotides) under uncultured bacterium. RNAcentral's name for it is "bacterial SSU rRNA". It matches the Rfam family "Bacterial small subunit ribosomal RNA", at positions 29 to 526 of the family's 1533-position model. The record is from RNAcentral.